Long non-coding RNA from Uranotaenia lowii, 464 nucleotides. RefSeq lists it as uncharacterized. The transcript has 3 exons. NCBI's taxonomy places the organism in Eukaryota, Metazoa, Arthropoda, Insecta, Diptera, Culicidae. The record is from RefSeq and is a predicted model, not a curated record.
UUGCACUUAUUCGCUACAAAGUUUUCUGCGGAUAGCAGUGCAACACAGCUCACAUUCCGAUAAAACCAGGAUUUUACGAUGCCAGAUUUCGAAGCUUUGGUUGUGGUCUCGAGGAAUCCGUUGCUGAUGUCCAGCAAUCGGAACAAAACGUUUGUGGUGUGCGAUACAAUUCAAACCGUCGGGACGAAAACUGUGACGAUCAGUUCAUAUCCCACAUUCGAAGUCGGCCCUUGUUGGCUGAUGAUUGUAUCCGGGAAGCCAUCCUACGCCGGCUAACGCUAUGUGGCUACCAAUUCCCAAUAUCAGACGUUCUACAGCAACAUCUGGCCUACCGUCGCAUGGUGCCACUUUGGUAAAGUGGCUUCGGUUAACCUUAGCUGAUCAGGCCAAGUUUGACGAUUCUGCCGCAAGCCUCUGGUGGACAGUGGGAUCCGAGUUAAGGUACUCACGAACGAUGGAUGAAA